Molecule: transfer RNA, 72 nt
Organism: Camelus ferus (Wild Bactrian camel)
Lineage: Eukaryota; Metazoa; Chordata; Mammalia; Artiodactyla; Camelidae
Rfam family: tRNA
About the family: Transfer RNA (tRNA) molecules are approximately 80 nucleotides in length. Their secondary structure includes four short double-helical elements and three loops (D, anti-codon, and T loops). Further hydrogen bonds mediate the characteristic L-shaped molecular structure. tRNAs have two regions of fundamental functional importance: the anti-codon, which is responsible for specific mRNA codon recognition, and the 3' end, to which the tRNAs corresponding amino acid is attached (by aminoacyl-tRNA synthetases). tRNAs cope with the degeneracy of the genetic code in two manners: having more than one tRNA (with a specific anti-codon) for a particular amino acid; and 'wobble' base-pairing, i.e. permitting non-standard base-pairing at the 3rd anti-codon position.
Source: Rfam
GAGGGUGGAGCUUAGUGAUAGAGUGUGAGCUUAGCAUGUGUGAGGUCCUGGGUUCAAUCCCCAGUACCUCCA